GUCCACCCUUUGGACCUGCAGUGUCCGGAGUAAGGUGAUGAGGUGCCACGCCACUGUUUCUCAGGUCGGUGAAACCUUCACAGAGGGGUGCCAGCGUCACUUGCACACAGCCGAUCCCAGUGCGUUGUCGAAAACUCAAGUAAAAACCAAGGCACAGAUUGGGUCUCUGUCUCAACUUUUUAAAUCGGCUAGAGAGUUGGUGGACGAUGCAAUGGAUUCCGUGCCAACGGCACAGCCGAAUCUUUUCAAACCGGAAAAUGUGGCACGUGCUGUCAACCGCCACCGGUACAAGGAAAGACUGGCAAAUCCCACUGACCUAUCAUUUGAGAUCAACUAUGACUAUCUACAAUGCAGAGAAUUCAUCAUUGGGGACAUACAGGUACAAGAGGCCAGACACAUCCUGUUCGCCACCCAGGAUCAACUCCGUUUGUUGCGAAACACUAAAUUUCACCAAUAAGAAAGAUUGUUGACGCACCUUUCAACGGCGGACAACUGAUGUCCAUUCACUCUUUCAUGGAAAAAGAUGGUAAUUGCAAACAAGUGCCCCUCAUGUUUGCCCUCAUGUCAAGACGACGUCGGGACGACUACGUAGCUGUGUUCCGGAAGUUGCUUGACGUAUUAGACACUGUCCAAGUUGAGGAGUUCAUGCUUGAUUUUGAGCAAGCUGCUUGGUUGGCUGUACGUGAGUGCUUCCCCGGUG
Long non-coding RNA from Dreissena polymorpha, 700 nucleotides. RefSeq lists it as uncharacterized. The transcript is spliced from 5 exons. Lineage: Eukaryota; Metazoa; Mollusca; Bivalvia; Myida; Dreissenidae. The record is from RefSeq and is a predicted model, not a curated record.